GACGAACGCUGGCGGCGUGCUUAACACAUGCAAGUCGAACGGAAAGGCCCUGCUUUUGUGGGGUGCUCGAGUGGCGAACGGGUGAGUAACACGUGAGUACCUGCCCUUGACUUUGGGGUAACUUCAGGAAACUGGGGCUAAUACCGGAUAGGAGCUCCUGCUGCAUGGUGGGGGUUGGAAAGUUUCGGCGGUUGGGGAUGGACUCGCGGCUUAUCAGCUUGUUGGUGGGGUAGUGGCUUACCAAGGCUUUGACGGGUAGCCGGCCUGAGAGGGUGACCGGCCACAUUGGGACUGAGAUACGGCCCAGACUCCUACGGGAGGCAGCAGUGGGGAAUAUUGCACAAUGGGCGGAAGCCUGAUGCAGCAACGCCGCGUGCGGGAUGACGGCCUUCGGGUUGUAAACCGCUUUCGCCUGUGACGAAGCGUGAGUGACGGUAAUGGGUAAAGAAGCACCGGCUAACUACGUG
RNAcentral lists this ribosomal RNA (467 nucleotides) under uncultured bacterium. RNAcentral's name for it is "partial 16S ribosomal RNA". It matches the Rfam family "Bacterial small subunit ribosomal RNA", at positions 28 to 507 of the family's 1533-position model. The record is from RNAcentral.